RNAcentral lists this ribosomal RNA (253 nucleotides) under uncultured bacterium. RNAcentral's name for it is "partial 16S ribosomal RNA". It matches the Rfam family "Bacterial small subunit ribosomal RNA", at positions 524 to 776 of the family's 1533-position model. The record is from RNAcentral.
UACGUAGGGUGCAAGCGUUGUCCGGAAUUAUUGGGCGUAAAGAGCUCGUAGGCGGUUCGUCACGUCGGCUGUGAAAUCCCGAGGCUCAACCUCGGGUCUGCAGUCGAUACGGGCGGACUGGAGUACUGCAGGGGAGACUGGAAUUCCUGGUGUAGCGGUGAAAUGCGCAGAUAUCAGGAGGAACACCGGUGGCGAAGGCGGGUCUCUGGGCAACAACUGACGCUGAGGAGCGGAAGCGUGGGGAGCGAACAGG